This 492-nucleotide ribosomal RNA is filed under the name uncultured bacterium. Its description in RNAcentral is "partial 16S ribosomal RNA". It matches the Rfam family "Bacterial small subunit ribosomal RNA", at positions 29 to 507 of the family's 1533-position model. The record is from RNAcentral.
AGUGAACGCUGGCGGUAGGCCUAACACAUGCAAGUCGAACGACAGCACAGUAAGAGCUUGCUCUUACGGGUGGCGAGUGGCGGACGGGUGAGGCAAACAUCGGCAUCUACUUUUUCGUGGGGGAUAACGUAGGGAUACUUACGCUAAUACCGCAUACGACCUACGGGUGAAAGCAGGGGAUCUUCGGGCUUUGCGCGGUUGAAUGUACCGAUGUCGGAUUAGCUAGUUGGCGGGGUAAAGGCCCACCAAGGCGACGAUCCGUAGCUGGUCUGAGAGGACGAUCAGCCACACUGGAACUGAGACGCGGCCCAGACUCCUACGGGAGGCAGCAGAGGGGAAUGUUGGACAAUGGGCGCAAGCCGGAUCCAGCCAUACCGCGUGGGGGAAGAAGGCCUUCGGGUAUUAAAUCCCUUUUGUUGGGAAAGAAAAGCAGCAGGUUAAUACCGCGCUGUUCUGACGGUACCCAAAGAAUAAGCACCGGCUAACUUCGUG